GAUUUCUGGUAGUUUUGUUCGGUCCAGCCCGCUGCCGCAAGGCGGUGUGUGUUGGUUUUCCGCGCUGCCAUCCUUCCAGGUCGGCACCGGUUGCAUGCUUCGCAAGAGGUGUGUACGGUUGCUCUGGAUCUUUUACUUUGAAAAAAUUAGAGUGUUUAAAGCAGGCUUGUGCUGUGAAUACAUUAGCAUGGAAUAAUAAUUUAGGACUUUUGUCCAUUUGUUGGUUUUCCAGGGCGAAAGUAAUGAUUGAUAGGGACAGUUGGGGGUGCUAGUAUUUCGUCAACAGAGGUGAAAUUCUUGGACCGACGAAAGACUAACUUAUGCGAAAGCAUU
Molecule: ribosomal RNA, 333 nt
Filed under: uncultured Glissomonadida
Lineage: Eukaryota; Cercozoa; Glissomonadida
Description: bacterial SSU rRNA
Rfam family: Eukaryotic small subunit ribosomal RNA (bases 124-333)
Source: RNAcentral